Molecule: long non-coding RNA, 216 nt
Organism: Seriola dumerili (greater amberjack)
Lineage: Eukaryota; Metazoa; Chordata; Actinopteri; Carangiformes; Carangidae
Exons: 3
Source: RefSeq, a predicted model, not a curated record
AAAUCCAGUGUGAAUUGUUGGUCCUUGCUCUCCUAUCCCAGAGAAAAGUCGUGAAAAGCUCAGGGGGUGACCACAUCCACAACUUGAGGCUGGAACUAAGGAAACAUGCCGAUUAAUUUUCAGGUCCCUUUGCCAGCUUCUCGUGUCCCUUAACAGUGAAGUGGAAACAAUCUGCCGUGAAGAAGCUCAAGUCAAGUGUCCCGUCCUGCAGUAAAG